UUCGGAUAACGGCACACCUGGAUUUAACGUUUUUUGUGUUCAUUCAGAGAUAUAACUCGGCUGCUGCAGUCCCAGGAAUACUAAGAACAUGUGUCAUGCAAGGACUGGCUGCUGUGAUACAACAACUAGAGGAGCCUAUUAAUGACAGAGAGGAACCCUCAGUGAUAAGUCAUGCAAGGACUGGCUGCUGUGAUACAACAACUAGAGGAGCCUAUUAAUGACAGGGAGGAACCCUCAGUGAUAAGUCAUGCAAGGACUGGCUGCUGUGAUACAACAACUAGAGGAGCCUAUUAAUGACAGGGAGGAACCCUCAGUGAUAAGUCAUGCAAGGACUGGCUGCUGUGAUACAACAACGAGAGGAGCCUAUUAAUGACAGGGAGGAACCCUCAGUGAUAAGUCAUGCAAGGACUGGCUGCUGUGAUUCAACAACUAGAGCAGCCUAUUAAUGACAGGGAGGAACCCUCAGUGAUAGUAAGUUUGCAGUGAAUGAGAUGCAGUUUUCAGCCUCAGUCAAACUAAGACUAUACUUUCAGGGAUCAUUUCUAUAGUUUCUGACUUGAGAAAUGUGUUUCUAAAGUGUCUG
Long non-coding RNA from Epinephelus moara (kelp grouper), 583 nucleotides. RefSeq lists it as uncharacterized. The transcript has 6 exons. Lineage: Eukaryota; Metazoa; Chordata; Actinopteri; Perciformes; Serranidae. The record is from RefSeq and is a predicted model, not a curated record.